This 15914-nucleotide long non-coding RNA is filed under the name Gossypium barbadense (sea-island cotton). RNAcentral's name for it is "long non-coding RNA (GBAR_LNC018288)". The record is from RNAcentral. Lineage: Eukaryota; Viridiplantae; Streptophyta; Magnoliopsida; Malvales; Malvaceae.
CGGUGGUUGCGGUGGCGGGGUAGUGGCGCGACGGUGGCGAUGGCUUUUGGGCUGCUGUUUUUUGGAUUUUUUUGAGUUUUUCUCUGCUCUUUUUCUAUUUUUUUUUGGUUGCUAUCCGACCCCCUUCCUUCUCUUUUGAUUUUCUUUUUAAUCUCUUCAUUUUUUAUCCUCUUUCUUCUUGUUUUCAGAUGGCAUGGAGGUGAGGAGCAUGGCUGAUUGGCGGUGUCAGGCGUAGGGUGUGGUGCACGCCCAAAUGCUGGUUGGGGGGCAGUCUUGUCAUUCCCAGAAGGACUGAAUUGUAGAGUGUGCAAAGUUUUUAGGGCAAAAAUGUGAUUUUAGGAAAAUAUAGGGACAAAAUGUAAUUUCUAGAAAGUUUAGGGGCCUGACUGUAAUUUAUAAAAUAUUAGGGGUCAAGAUGUAAAUUUAGACAAAGUUAGGGGUCAAAAAAUAAUUUUUGAAAAGUUUGAGGGCCAAAAUGUAAUUUUUAUUUUUUGUAUUUUUAUUUUUUUCAAAAUUUUAUUAUGACUAUUUUAUUAAUAUUUAAAACAAAAAUUAAAAACGGACUAAAGUAAUUCCAAAAUUAAAUCCUAAUGGGCUCGAUCAUUGGGCCCAUACGAGACCGACCCGGCCUAAAAUUCAAACCGGGCAAAAUUCAGUGAUUACAGCUGCCCCUCUUUGCUCAUCGCUGUAAAACAGGGAUAGAGCAAAGACUUAAAAGCACUGAAUUUUGCUCGAUUGUCUAAUUUUUUAUAUUUUUUGAAAGCCUGAAAUUGAAAAAAAAAAGCUUGGUGUGCGAUCCGAAGUUCAACUCACUUUUCAGAUUAUAAGUUGACCUUUGAAAAAUAAAAAAUAAAAAUACCUCAGCUUGACUCGAGGCUCAACUCACCUCUAGGAUUAUGAGUUAAUAAUUUUUUUUUUUGAAAACAUAAAUUGAAAAUACCACAGCGUGACCUGAGGCUUAACUCACCUCUCGCAUUAUGAGUUGAUUUUUGAAAAACGAAAAAUUGAAAAAUACCUCGGCAUGUGACCCGAGGCUCAACUCACCUCUCGUAAUAUGAGUUGAUUUUUUUUGAAAAACAGAAAUUUAAAAUACCUUAGCGUGCGACCUGAGGCCCAACUCACCUCUCGCAAUAUGAGUUGAUUUUUGAAAAACAGAAAUUGAAAAUACCUCAGGAUGACCCGAGGCUCAACUCACCUCUCGUAUUGUGAGUUGAUUUUUGAAAAAAAGAAAAUUUAAAAGAAAUACCUCGGCGUGACCCGAGACUCAACUCACCUCUCGCAAUAUGAGUUGAUUUUUUUGAAAAACAGUAACUUAAAAAUACCUCAGCGUGACCCGAGGCUCAACUCACCUCUCGUAUUAUGAGUUGAUUUUUGAAAAACAAAAAUUAAAAAAUAUAAUUCUUGAAAGAAACAGGGUUUCAAAACAUCAGGUGAAACUAAAGCCUUCUUCUUCGUUGAUUCUGUGCAACUUUCUCUCAGUAUUCCCUGCUCUACUAAGAUACCUGUAUAUGUCAUGUAUGAUGUUAUUAUGAUAUGCACGUGUUUGACCUAAAUGCUUUUAUGCCUACAUAAUCAUGCCAUGAGCCCUGGGCUGUUUGUCUCAUGCCUCCUUUUCGUGAGGGACUGCAUUCAUUGCCUCAAUCAUUGACUUCUCUCUUCGGUUUUGUACUCAUCUUCAAGUUUGUCGGGUGACCCACAUGUCCAUAUUUCCCCUUCUUGCCCCUUUUGUUGAACUUUGUUCCUGCUUUGGGGUCCUUGUACUUAUCAAAUUCUCAUCCAGGUAAUGCUCAACAUUCAUUUUGUUUAGAGUAUGUCAUCUUACUAUUUAUCAUUUAAAUGAAUCAAACACAAGAUGCAUAAAUAAAAUGGCAAAGUAGGCAUGAAAGAAAUACCUCACAUCCAUUUCAUUUUCAAAACCAUCAAACAAAGAAAAUUGACAAGGAAAAAGUUCAAAGAAAGCAUCAUAUAGAAAGGAAAGUGAAUUCAAUGGCCACAAAUGCUCUAGAUAUCCAACGUAUGAACUUCUCCACGUUUCUUCAUCCUGGAUCCUUUCGAGCACGGCUUCUUGUGUAGAAGAUUUCGAGCUUCUGAGAAUGCUUCAAAUAUUGCGACUUUGUCAUUCAACUCUCCGUUCAAGUCACUUUGCUCCUUUAAGCUCGAGCCCACUUCAUUAGGACGCCCUUUCAGGUUUCCAUCCUAAUUCUUUUUGUUUAUCAAAACGCCCUUUUCAGGUUUUCAUCUUGAUUUUCUUUUUCUUUUCUUUUUUCUUUUUUUGUUUUUGUUUUUGUUUUUUUUUGUUCUUUUUGUUCUUUUUGUUCUUUUAUUUUUUUAUUUUUUUUUUGUUUUUUUAGGCAUAAUAUUUCUUUACAGCAUCUGAGUUCACUGGAUUAGGUAACUCUUUCCCGUCCAUCUCAGUGAGAAUCAGAGCCCCUCCUGAGAAUGCCCUCUUUACAACGUAUGGUCCUUCCCAAUUUGGUGACCAUUUUCCUCGAAAGUCCUUCUGUAUUGGGAGAAUCUUUCUCAGUACGAGCUCUCCUUCGCGAAAUUCUCUUGGCCGCACCUUUUUAUCAUGGGCCGUAAUCAUUCUCUUCUGGUACAUCUGUCCAUGACAAAUUACCUUCAAGCGUUUCCCUUCAAUAAGGUUUAGCUGAUCAUAUCGAGCUCGAACCCACUCUGAUUCCUCUAACCUUGUCUCCAUCAAGAUGCGCAGGGAUGGGAUCUCUACUUCGAUAGGCAGAACGGCUUCCAUUCCAUAGACUAGAGAAAAAGGAGUUGCCCCCGUAGACGUCCGUACCGAGGUGCGAUAUGCGUACAAAGCGAAUGGUAGCUUAUCGUGCCAGUCUUUAUAUGUCUCAGUCAUCUUCCCAAUAAUCCUCUUAAUGUUCUUAUUAGCGGCUUCUACUGCUCCGUUCAUCUUUGGGCAAUAGGGCGAAGAAUUAUGAUGUUUUAUCUGGAAUUGCUCACAUACUUCUUUCAUCAUCUUAUUGUUCAAAUUUAAAGCAUUAUCUGAAAUGAUUCUUUCAGGCAGACCAUAUCGGCAUAUAAUCUCCUUUUUUAAGAACCUACAGACUGUAGCCUUUGUCACAUUAGCAAACGAAGUGGCUUCUACCCAUUUUGUGAAGUAGUCUAUAACCACAAAGAUGAAUCGAUGCCCAUUGAAAGCUUUCGGGGAAAUUGGCCCUAUAACAUCCAUGCCCCACAUAGAAAAAGGCCACGGAGAAGUCAUGACAUGAAGGGGUGACGGAGCUGCAUGAAUUUUGUCGCCAUAAAUUUGACAUUUGUGGCACUUUCGUGCGUAACCAAUGCAAUCCCUUUCCAUCGUCAGCCAAUAAUAACCAAGUCUCAUAAUCUGCCUGGCCAUGGUGAAACCACUGGCAUGUGUUCCACAAAUUCCUUCAUGAACCUCUUCAAGUAUCUUUCUAGCUUCAACAGCGUCCACGCACCUCAGGAGCACUUGAUCUUUUCCCCUUUUGUAUAGAAUAUCCCCGUCAAGAACAAAUCCAAUCGCCAUUCUCCUGAUUGUUCUUUUGUCAUUCUCGUUUGCUUGCUCGGGGUACCUUUGAUUCUUGAUAUACUCCAAGAUAUCAUGGAACCAUGGUCGUCCAUCUGACUCCUCCUCAAUACUAAAGCAGUGUGCGGGGGUCUCAUAUAUACUCAUUUGGAUGGGCAUUAUCUCAUUUUCUCUGUUUGCCUUGAACAUCGAAGCCAAGGUGGCUAGGGCAUCAGCCAGUUGGUUCUCCUCUCGUGGAAAGUAGUUAAAAGUCACUUUAUAGAACUCCUUGAUCAGCUCUGCAACGAGAUCAUGAUAUUUGACUAAUUUUGGAUCUCUCACUUCCCAAUCUCCACGAAUUUGAUAAAUGACUAAUGCUGAGUCCCCGUGUACCUCUAAAAUUUUGAUUUUUCACUUGAUAGCUGCACGAAGUCCCAUGAUGCAAGCCUCAUAUUCCGCUAUAUUAUUUGUACAGAAGAAAUUCAAUCUGGCAGUAAGCGGGUAAUGGUCCCCUUCAGGUGACACUAAGACUACUCCUAUCCCAUGCCCCAAUACAUUUGAUGCACCAUCAAAGCUCAUCUUCCAUGACUUUCCUUUUGAUGACUCGCCCUCUUUUUCUGAAAUACACAUCAAAUCUUCAUCUGGGAACUCAAAUCUCAAAGGCUCGUAUUCCUCCAUUGUUCGACUUGCCAAGAAGUCAGCUAUUGCGCUUCCUUUUAUCGACUUUUGGCUCACAUAUACAAUGUCAUACUCAGUCAAUAGGAUUUGCCAUCGGGCCUUUCUCCCUGAGAGUGCAGGUGACUUCAUCAUGUACUUUAUUGGGUCCAGUUUUGAAAUUAACCAUGUCGUGUGAUACAGCAUGUAUUUUCUGAGCCUUCGAACUGUCCAAAUCAAUGCACAACAAAACUUCUCAAUUGACAGGUACUUUGCCUCAUAUUCUGUGAACUUCUUGCUGAGGUAGUAAAUUGCCUUCUCUCUUUUCCCUGACUCAUCAUGUUGUCCCAGUACGCAACCCAUUGAGUUCUCAAACACGGUCAGGUACAAUAUUAAGGGUUUUCCAGGGGUCGGCGGUACUAGCACAGGAGAAUUAGAUAGAUACUGUUUUAUCUUGUCGAAGGCCACUUGGCACUCCUCGUUCCAUUCUCCCGGAUUACGUUUUCAAAGGAGUCGAAAAAUUGGGUCACACUGAUUGGUAAGUUGAGCAAUGAAUCGAGCAAUGUAAUUCAACCUUCCUAAAAAACCUCUGACUUCCUUUUGUGUACGCGGGGGAGGCAAUUCUUGUAUAGCUUUUAUCUUAUCUGGAUCAACCUCGAUACCUCUUUCACUAACAAUGAAACCUAGCAGUUUUCCUGAGGUAGCCCCAAAUGUACAUUUGGCCGGGUUAAGCUUCAACUGAAACUUUCUUAAUCUUUCAAACAACUUCCUAAGACUCCCAACAUGCUCUCUUUCUUCCCGAGAUUUGGCAAUCAUAUCAUCGACAUAAACUUCUAUUUCUUUGUGCAUCAUAUCAUGGAAUAACGUCACCAUGGCUCUCUGAUAUGUUGCCCCAGCAUUCUUUAAUCCGAACGGCAUUACCUUGUAGCAGAAGGUUCCCCACAUUGUUAUGAAUGUAGUUUUCUCCAUAUCUUCGGGAGCCAUCUUUAUCUGAUUAUAUCCUGAGAAACCAUCCAUGAAAGAAAACAGAGAAUGCUUUGCCGUAUUAUCCACCAAAGUGUCGAUGUGCGGUAAAGGAAAGUUAUCUUUAGGGCUUGCUUAAUUCAGAUCAUGAUAAUCCACGCACAUUCGCACCUUGCCAUCUUUCUUCGGCACUGGGACUAUAUUAGCUACCCAUUCUGGAUACUUUGAGACUUGUAGGAAGCCAGCGUCAAAUUGUUUCUUGACUUCUUCUUUUAUCUUUAACAGCAUUUCGGGUCUCAUCCUUCUUAAUUUCUGCUGAACGGGCUUGCAUUCUGGUUUCAGUGAGAGCUUGUGGACCACAAUAUCCGUGUUUAAUCCUGGCAUAUCUUGAUAAGACCAGGCAAACACAUCCUUGUAUUCAUGGAGCAAGGCGAUCAAAUCUUGCCUUGUGUUUUUUGAAAUCGAAGUCCCAAUCUUCACUUCUUGUUUCUCUUCUUCAUUCCCCAAGUUCACUACCUCAACAGAUUAUUGAUGGGGUAGGAUUUGUUUCUCUUCUUGUUCCACCAUUCUCAGUAAGUCAGGAGAUGAGACACAAUCUUCAACAUUUUCGUCAGCUUCGAAUUCUCCUAAACAAAUAACCUUCUCAAAAUUGAUUUCAGGAUUCAUAACGGGAUUAUUCAUGCCAUUGAUAUCUGAACACCUGAAAGGUGAAUGGAAAAAGGAUAUAGAAGAGUAUUGAGGUAUUGUAAUCAACACACAAUGAUAUGAGAUGAUAUGAGACAUAUGCCAGAAAAGGAUAUGAACAGAAGGAGUAGUCGCAAAGUUAAUGAAAAGAAUAUGACAAUAUAAAACAAAAUGCAUCUUCAUUAAUGUUCAUUGAAAUGAUAAAGAGCAAACAUAAGCUCUUACAAAAGGAACCCUACUGUUUAAGGACACACAAAAUGAAGGGUUAACAUUGAGCAUUACUCUGAAGGGGACUUAAAAACUACAAGGAGGUCCUCAGCAGUCCAGUUGUUCAAAACAUAUCCUGGAGGACAAUGGCGUAUCAUUGAAGCAUUCUUAAUUUCAUCAUUCUCAUUGUCAAUAGCAUUUAGGCUGAGAUUCUGAAGACCCUUUUCAAUCAAUAAUGUGGCUUGCAAAUUGUUCUGCCCUGGGUACAUCACUCCUGCUGAUGUAAAUGUUCUCGACAAAGGAGGAUACGCCAACGGCCCCCAUUCUAAUUCCUGGCCCGAAGCUCUUGCGAUUCUUCUUUCUCGAUUUUUCUGAAAUUGUUUUUAUCUUUGAUGUACAUCUGGCUUGAACCCCAAACUGUAUCGACCCUUAUGGUGCGUUGGUUUCAAAGCUCUAACCAUCCUUUGUUGAUAUUUUCCCAAACCUUUCCUCGCUCGAGCUCCUUUUCCCACAGUCAGCUUAAGUCCCAUCUUGGUAUUCCUCGACAGUUUGGGAAUGGGGAUCUUAUUCCCUUCAGUAACAAAUGCAGCAUUGAUAAAUUUCAAGAAGCGAAAAGAACAUUCUACAGCAUCUUCGCUUAUUUCGAUGUAGGGUGCAUCAGUAGAGAUAGAUGCGACGAUGUCUUCCUCGCCACCAACAGUAAUCAAACGACUAUCCAUGAUGAACUUUACUUUCUGAUGGAGAGAUGAAGGAACUGCCCCAGCAGAAUGGAUCCAAGGUCUUCCUAACAGGCAAUUGUAUGAAGGUGUGAUGUCCAUGACCUGAAACUCGAUAUCGUAUGCACAUGGCCCCACUUUUAAAGGAAUUUCGAUAUUUCCCAUGACCUCUCGCCGUGUCCCAUCAAAUGCCCUUACUAUAGAAUGACAAGGCCUCAGAUAGGACAUAUCAACCGGCAUCCUAGAAAGCGUGGCCAAAGGCAUAACAUUGAGUGCAGAUCCAUUGUCGAUGAGCACAUUUGGUAAUAUGUAACCUUUGCAAUUGGUUGUGAUGUGCAAUGCUUUUAUGGAGCCCCUUCCAUUUGGCGGUAUUUCGUCGUCACUAAAGGAGAUGAAAUUAUCUGCAUUUAGAUUAUUUGCCCACCUAUCAAGCUUUUCCACAGAUACAUUGUUCGCCACAUAAGCUUGAUUUAACACUUUUAACAAGGCAUUCCGAUGUGGCUCUGAAUUCAACAAUAGAGACAGUACCGAGAUACGGGCUGGCUGCUUGUUUAAUUGUUCUACAAUGCUAUAUUCACUGUGCUUAAUGAACUUUAAGAACUCACAUGCUUCCUCCUCAUUCACAGCCUUUUUAACUUCUUCCUCGGGUGGUAUUUCAACAUCAUCCUCAGCCUCAUACAUUGGUGCUUUUCUUUUUUGGCUCGGACCAGCAACCUUCUUCUUUGGCUCAACCGUCUCGGGAGAAUAACAUCUUUCGCUACGAGUAAAAUGUCCUACUCCGCUAACACCUUCACUCACAACCUUGGACUUUUCACCCUCAGGUACAAUGAUAUUGACAUCAUAAUUCUAAGGCACCGCCUUGUUGUCCUUAUAAGGGAAAGGAGCAGGUACUUCAAUUAUCAAACUUGGUUUAACUUCUCGACUAACUUCUUCCUUCUUUGUCCCGUAAUAAAUCACCAAAGGUCUAUCGACGCUAUAAAGGGAAGCCAUUGAUUGAUUAUUAGAGGCACAUAUUUCUCCUUCUUCGGCCCCCUCCACCCUAUCAAAGACCUUGACCUCUUUGUUAUCCAUCAUGUCUUGAAGUAAUUUCCUAAAUUCCUUACAAGAUUGGAUGUCAUGCCCUUGGACGCCAUGAAAAUCACAGAAACUCUGGUCUUUUGUACUUUCUUCUUUAAGAAUCUUACUAGACGGACAGAGCAAGCCAUUUUCAAUCAUCAUCUCCCAUACCUUCCGUAAAGGUGUCUUUACUUCGGUAACACAACCUUUGGCUUGACAAUUGUCUUCAUUUGUCACCGCAUUUACAUUCCCGUCAGUAUGGUUAGGAAGAGGAUUUCCUGUCACAUUGCUAACAUCGUCGAACCGUAGAACACCGGCAUCAAUAAGACCUUAAACCCUCCUUUUAAAAGCAAGACAGUUUUCUGUAGAAUGUCCCUGAUUCCCAGCGUGAUACAUGCAAUUAGCGUUAGGAUCAUACCACUUCGGGUAUGGAGGCUUCAGGGGUGCCAUGUAAUGUGGGGAUAUUAAUUGUUUUUCCAACAGCUUUGGGUAUAAUUCUCCAUAUGAUACAGGAAUUAGAGUAAACUGAGGUCUUUCAAGAUUGGGUCUUGCCGGUCUUUGUUCAUUUUUGGGUUGGCUUUGUACAGGUAUGGUGUUUGGCGGGAACACGGUGAAUGGUCUUUGGUUAUUCACAGCAUAAACGGGGUAAGAUAGGGGUGCUUGAUAGUAAGGACUUUGAGGAGGAAAGUAGAAGUUUGAAGGUGGGCGGUAAUGAGGUCGUGGUUGGGUGAGGUACGGAUUAGGGGUACAUUGGCUUUCAGUCCCAACCAUAUGGGCCUCUGCCUCCUUUUUCUUUGCGGGUACUGUCCUCUUCGAACUCUCAGGACCUUCCAUUCUCCCACUCUUGACGGCGUUUUCGAUAAGUUCCCCGGAUAUUACAAUAUCUGCAAAGUCCUUUGUGGCACUUCCCACCAACUUAUCGUAAAAUGGCGCUUUUAGAGUGUUGAUGAAGAGGACCGUUAUCUCUGUCUUAGUUAACGGAGGCUCCACUUGAGCCGAGAUAUCCCUCCAUCUUUACGCAUAUUACCGAAAAGUCUCUGUCGGCUUCUUUUCCAUCAUUUGUAAGGUUAGUCGAUCAGGCACCAUAUCUGUUACAUGCCUAUAUUGCUCACAGAAUGCUGAAGCCAAAUCCUUCCAUGAUCGGAUUCUCUCUCUACUGAGUUGAUUAUACCAUCGAAGGGUUGAGCCAAUCAAACUAUCUUGAAAGUAAUGCACCAACAAUUUAUCAUCGUUUACAUAACCAGUCAUCUUUCGGCAAAACAUGAUCAGAUGCGCCUUUGGACAUCUUGUUCCGUCAAAUUUCUCAAAAUCAGGUGCCUUAAAUUUUGGUGGUAGGACCAAAUCAGGUACCAAACUGAGCUCUUUGGCACUCAAAGCAGAGAAAACUUCAGCGCCUUCUACUGCCUUGAUCCUCUAUUCCAGGACUCUAUACUUAUCCUGAGCGUUAUUGUCAUCAAUUCUCAGCCUUGCUACUUCUACAGGAUCAUCUAGGUCUGGAACAAUUGGAUCUGAAGGAUUAGCCCCAGGGUUCGAUACAAACAUUCCUUGUCCUAAAUGAGCAGAUGGAGCAGGAUGUUGUUCCAGGCCUGUAGGUUCCCUUUGGGGGUAUCCUCUUUGCAUUGCGUGGACAUGAGGUGGAGUAAAUCCCGGGGGAUAAAGUGGGUCUUGAUUAGCUCUUGACUGAGGCGGUUCUACGACAUUAGGGCUCUGUAUAGGUCCCUUUCCUUUGACCAAAGCCGUCAUCAUUUCUAUCAUUUUAGCCAUUUGAUCCCUUUGCUCGAGCAAUUCUUCUCGAGAUCUCACCAUCAAAUCUCUUGCCUCUUGCUGCGACUUGGCCAGUUGCUCCUGCAACUCUCUUUGGGUUCUUUCCAUCCUUUCCAUCCUUUCAUUGAGUUCAGCAUCCAUAGCUCUAGCUCUUAAGCGCGUCCUAUAAGAGUGACGUGAUUCCAGACUCGUAGUGUAGUAACUGUGGAUUAGAUGGUUUUACCCUUAGCGAAUGAUUAAGGUGAUAUGAGAAUACAAUGAAUAAAUGAAUGAGUAACUAAUGAAUGUUAAUCAUGCGUAAAUAUGCAAAAAAGGGUGUUGAUUCCAAAAUGGCCCCAUACUUGGGCGUUUCAUUUAUCAAAAGAGUCCGUUACAAAAAGUUUUGCCAUCCUAGUUCAACAAUUACACGAAUUUCCUAGCCACAUCGCCUUGCUUCUUCAUACGUUCCAAGAACUCUGAUAUGCUUGAUCUUUGGCUAGGAGGGUAUUGGCAACUGAGAACUUCCGCUUCAUCUGAUAAUUGUACUAUUUGUGCAGCCGCCUUACGAAUUUCAUUGAUCAACCUACCGAGAUGCAUAUCCUUUUCUUGGAGGGCUCUUUCAUAAGCACGAAUGUCUCUGUCAUGCUGAUCAUUCUUCUCUUCUAAAGCUCUCAAGAGGUCAUCCAGAUGUUGCUGAUGAGCUUGCAGUGUACUCUCUAGACUUCAGAUUUUUCCUUUUAGCCCUUGAUGCUCAGACUGACUAGCCGUUAGUUCUGCAGUCACAGUUUCGUAUUCAACGUUCUUCUUCCUCAACUCUAUCAUAGCACAUGCAGCUCUUUCCUCUUCUUUCUUUGCUUUGGCUUUCCAGAAUUCCAUCCCACCUUUGAUAUUACUUAGUUCCUCUUUCCAUUCUGCUGAUGCUUUGCCCAAUCCACUAUUUCUUAUAGUGCCCCUUAAUUUCUUGUUUUCCAAAUGAAGGUCCCUUAAAUUCUUUCUCGUAACUUGAACUUCUUUUUGGACUUUUUCGGCUCUGGAUUUUUCAAUUUCGACAUCAAUCUUCAGCUGGUAGUUCUCCUCCUGAAGAGAUUAAUAUCUCGCAACAUUUUGGCCUUUUCACGUUCAAAUUCAUGUCUUGCAAUUUCUAGCUCGGAUGGGGUUUUCUCUGAGAACGGAUUCUGGCAAGCUUCAUUAAUUGGUGGGGUUACUUGACUCUUCACUCGUUGUUGCCUCCAUAGGUCAUAGUCUACAGUGAUAGUAUCAGCAUAUAGAGCCAAUUCCAUUAGGUAGAUUCGCCUCCAAGAAUUCGCAGUAUCUCAAACCUUUUUCAUGUAACCCUCACCCAUAAAGGCAAACUCCGAUUGUGCCAAUCCAUCGGUAACUGGUACAAACUGUCGCGAAGCGAACUGUCUUUAAACCAACAAUGGAGCAUAUCCAACUCCUCCCCAUAAUCCUAAUAAAGGUAUCCAGUCUUGGUUUCCACACUUGUAUAACAAGACAGAGGGACGAAUCCAAGGUGCUCUCCAAGUUAUAUCUUCGACACGGAGGUUCUGAAAGACCGAGACCCAGUGUUGUUCAGUGACAUCUUUCGGCCAAUCUUUUCCAAGGUGUGCUUCCAACGGGGCGAAUGUCUUUGAAAACAUGUGGAAAGGCGUACGCUCCACCCUCCAAAAAUGGCUAAAGAUCCAAACAUUCAGUAACUGAGCGCAUUCGAUAAAACGUCCUUCCCCUUUUCUCCUACAAGCAUUUAGAGAUCUAAAAGUCUCAGCCAAGAUGGCUGGGACCGGGUUAACUCUUUGCCUCAACUUUUCGAAGAAAUCCACAACCGCAACUUCAAUAUGCCCAAGAACCUUCGGGAAGACGACCAGUCCGUAAACAGCCAAGGCAAACAAAUCUACUCUUUUUAACACAUCUGGAUGAUUCUGAACUAACUCCCGCAGAGAAAACCACGGGACACAACUGACUUCAUUCUUCUUCUUUAUCUGUUUUUCAGCCCAUGUAUCAGUCAUUCCCGUCAACUUCAUUAGCUUUUUCUUGAAGGUCAUUGGUUUAGGCUCCUUCACAUAUAUCUUGUUGAGUUGCACAUUAUCGAUGCGAAGCAAAGCGGCAUACUCUUCUAUGGUCGGAGUCAUAUCUUCCUGAUUGAAAGUGAAACACUGAUAGGCUGGGUCCCAGAAUCGAACCAUGGCUUGGAUCAACUGCUCGUUCACAUCGAUUGCUAUCAAGUGAGCUAUAUCCCCAUACUUUUCAGUGGAGAUGCUUCUAGUAUCUGAGUCCCACUGCUUCCAAAUCCUAGUCAAGUCUUCGAGAUCAUUUUGACGAGCAUUCAAAGUCACACGCUCGGGAAGAUCAGAGGUGUAUCCUUCCUUCAAACUGUCCCCUUUCACUUUUUGAGUUCUCAAAGACCAAUCUCGGACUACAGCAUUUUUCUCGGUUACUCGUGUAAUUGACUCCUCCAUCAGAAACCCGUUUUUGGCAACCAAUAUUUAACCAACACCUUCCUAAUGAGAUGUCUACGAUGCAUGAUGGAAAAUAAGAUGAAAAACAAAUAACCUUGGUUAGAGAUCACAACAGAUAUAAACAAAAGAAAAAUGAAAAAUAAAGACUAUGGAAAAUUUAACAAAUUAAGCUAUUCAAUCAUGCAAUUUGGUGGAACAGACCCACAUUUUUUUUUGCCCCAACAUGCUUUACAAGAAACCUACCCCACAUACCAUCAGACCAUCUAUCCGACCCAAUUUAUUGAAUAGACUCAAUUUAUCUGCAAAUAAGUGUAAAUGUAAAAGAAAUAAAAGGUAAGAGGCGUUUCUCCCGUGCACUUAUUUUGGUAACUAUCAAACGGACAGAGGUUCUGUAUGGCUCUACUCGGGUGGCCUAUACGGUUCACUAUAUGUAGUUUCGGUUUUAGAAAGGUACUCGAAUUGUCCAUACUAUCACCUACUAAGGUUAGUACAGAGCUUCGGUUAUCGCCCGUCAGGGCUCGCGAGCUCAAUUCGAGGGAUUACAUUUACUUAUGCCUAUGCGGAGGGACAAGUUAACUCACGAAAGCAUAAGUCAUAUGUAACCCGAAAGUAAUUACUAGCCUGUGCGGAGGGACGAGUUAACUCACGAAGGCGUAGCGUUUACUUCCACUUAAACGGACAGAGCCCGGGUAGAGAGCUCAUGUUAUGCAAAAAAUGCAAGUGCACUGUGUGUGGAGAGAAACUCACAAACCUUUUUAUUUUUACUUUUACUAAAAAAAACAAACUAAAACCAUAAAACUUAAAGCUGAAAAAAACACGAAAAUAAAAAAGGUUAGAAAAAUAUUAAUUUCAAAACUGAAUACGGAUGCAUGAUUUUUUUCAAAACAAAAUUCAAGGAUCACGAUUAAAAAUUAAUUUGAACAAGAAAAUUUGAAAAUUUUGACAACACACGUUUAACAUCAGACUCGACUCUCAAAAAAAACUCCCCAGCGGAAUCGCCAGCUGGAGCGACCUAAAAAUUUCUGGGCACGGGCGCUAGUCGAAGUAAUUAUUUAAGGUUUGAAAACAGUGUCUCGAUUUUAUUCGAAAAAGGGAGUCGCCACCGAUCUUUUUUUUUAGGUGUGAUCGGACACCUACAAAAUUCUCUUUUUAGAAGAAAAAUUUAUUUUUAAGCUUUUCUAAAAAGAGGUAAUUUUAGGUCCACGUAAAAAUCAAGAGAAAAUUAGGGUUCUGGAGUCGGUUACGCGCGAGGAAGGUAUUAGCACCCUCGCGACGCCCAAAAUUGGUAUCUCGUUAAAUGCAUGUUGUCUUAACUUUCAAAAAUACGAGUUCCAUUUAAUAUUUAGUCAUGAUCCGAUUGAAACACGAGAAUUUUGAAACACAACAACCCCUUUUUUUUUUUUGAAAACACGAAAUUUUUUUAAAACGCAAGAAUUUUAGAAACACAAAAAUUUUCUUUAAAAAAACACGAAAAUUUUGAAACAUGAGAAUUUUUUCAAAACACAAAUUUUCUUUUUGAAACACGAAAAUUUUGAAAACACAAAAAAUUUGAUAAAUUACGAAACAUGAGAUUUUUUUGAAACACGGAAAUUUAUGAAACACGGUCAAUUUUUGAAAACACAAAAAUUUUUGAAAGACGGGUUUUUUUUUUGAAAACACGAAAAUUUAUAAAACACGGAAAUUUUUUCUGAAAACAAGAAAAUUUUCGAAAAACGAGAAUUUUUGAAAACACAAGAAAUUUUUGAAAACAUGAAAUUUUUUGUUAAACUAGAAUUUUGAAAACACGAAGAUUUUUGAAACAUGAGGAUUUUUGAAAACACGAAGCUUUUUGAAACAUGAGAAUUUUUUGAGAACAUGAAAACAUGAAAAUUUGUCAAACACGGGAAUUUUUUGAAAACACGAUAACAUCAAAGAGUAUUCAAGAGAGUUUUUUGAAACACGGAAUUUUUUUUUGGAAAAAAGAAACACGAAUAUAUUUUUUUGAAACACAGGAAAUUUUUUGAAAAAAAGAAACACGAAUAUAUUUUUUUGAAACACGGGAAAUUUUAUUAUUAUUAUUUUGAAACACGAGAAAUUUUGAAGACAUGAAAAUUUUUGAAACACAAUUUUUUUAAUAAUACCAUAUUUAAUACGAAUCGAUGAUAUUCACCCCGAUAUGGCGAUGAAAUCGUCGUAUUAGUGUCAAAACAAAUCAAAUUAAUAUUUAAUCGGGAUUCUAAUAAAACACGAGGAUUUUUAUUAAAACACGAGGAAUUUUGAAUAUUUUCUAUUUUUAGAAGGGCGUCCCGUAUUUAACACGAGCCAUCAAUAUUCACCCAACAUAGAGAUGAAUUCAACGGCUUGAUGCUAAAUCGGUUCGUUGCCUUAUGCAUUAAAAUAUUUUUCUAUAAAAAAAUGCAAAUAAAAUUACAUAUAAUAAUAUUUCUAAACUAUUAAAAAACUAAUUUAAUUGUAAUGGGGAAAUAUUUAAAUAAAUGGACUUAAUUAGAGUGGGUUUAAAAAAUUACCAAAAGCCCAAAGUUAUGGGCUUGAAUUUUGGGCCUCCCUUUUUCUUUUUUUUUCUCUUUCUUUCCUGGGCUUUGGGCUGCCGGACUGGGCCGAGUCUGCUGGCCCGCUGGUUGCUGGAACAGGCUUGCUACCGCUGCUGGAUCGGGUACAGGCCUUCGUGCGGGUCGGGUCUACCUCCUGGACUGGGUCGUGGCCUGCUGUCACUGUUGGGCUGCUCUGCUGCGCGUGGGCCUGGGCUGCUGCUUAGCUGCUGGAGUGGCCUGCUGUUGGCCUGCCCAAGAUGGCCUAUUGCUUGCUGGGCCGGUCUGCCACUACUGCUGGUGUGGGUGGCCUGCUGCUGGCUUGUUGCUGGCUGCUGGCUGGGUCAGAUCCGGGUCGUCGGGUCGGGUUGGCCCGGCUGUUAUUUUUUUCUUCUAUUUUCUUCUUUCUUCUUUCUUCUUUUCUUUUUUCCUCCUUUUUUUUCUUUCCUUUUUCUUUUUCUUUCUUUUCUUCUUCCUUUCAAACCCUAGCCGCCGUCUUUUGCUUGGUGGCGCGACGGUGCCGGCGCUUCUCCCUUCUCCCUUCUCCUACUCUCUCUUCUUUCUCUCCUUUUCUUUUUCUUCUCUUCUUCCUCUCUUCCUUACUUCUUUACUGUUUGGGUUGCUGUUUUUUUUUGUUUUCUCUUUGCUUGUUUGUAUAGGUGCGACGGUGGUGGUGGUGUCACAACGGCGGUACGACGACGGUGGUUGCGGGAGGAUGGUGGUGGAGGCUUUCAGCUUGCUGCUAUUUUUUUAUUUUUGAAUUUUCUCUGCUCUUUUUCUUUUGGUUGCCGAAAAACCUUUUCUUUUUGUUUCGGUUUCCCUUGGCUUUCUAGGUGGCGGUGCGGUGGUUGCGGUGGCGGGGUAGUGGCACGACGGUGGCGAUGGCUUUUGGGCUGCUGUUGUUUGGAUUUUUUUGAGUUUUUCUCUACUCUUUUUUUAUUUUUUUUUGGUUGCUAUCCGACCCCCUUCCCUCUCUUUUGAUUUUCUUUUUAAUCUCUUCAUUUUUUUGUCCUCUUUCUUCUUGUUUUCAGAUGGCAUGGAGGUGGGGAGCAUGGCUGAUUGGCGGUGUCAGGCGUAGGGUGCGGUGCACGCCCGGAUGCUGGUUGGGGAGCAGUCUUGUCAUGCCCAGAAGGACUGAAUUGUAGAGUGUGCAAAGUUUUUGGGGCAAAAAUGUGAUUUUAGGAAAAUAUAGGGCCAAAAUGUAAUUUCUAGAAAGUUUAGGGGCCAACUAUAAUUUACAAAAUAUUAGGGGUCAAGAUGUAAAUUUAGAAAAAGUUGGGGGUCAAAAAAUAAUUUUUGAAAAGUUUGGAGGCCAAAAUGUAAUUUUUAUUUUUUGUAUUUUUUUUAUUUUUAUUUUUUUUUCAAAAUUUUAUUAUGACUAUUUUAUUAAUAUUUAAAACAAAAAUUAAAAACGGAC